AGGGUAUGCACCUUGAGAUGCGUAGCUUGUCUUGAUUAUCCAAGUGGGCCCAAUUGUUGGACGAGGUCAUAGAGAGGUCAUAGCCGGCAAGCUGACCCACUAGCUGGACCCAGGGCAAUCAGAACCUCCUCACCCUUCUCCUGUCCUUGGGUUGUACGUGUGGCCCACCAUUCCCACACUAGGAGCUGUUUCAAGAACAUAGCCUUGAGAGAGUAAGAUGUUGGGACCAUCUGGACUGAAUGCAUGACUGACCCCGUUAAGGCCUCUAUAAAACUUAAGAUCCUGGGGGGUAAGGGCAGAGAUCUACUCAUCUUGCAGCCACCCAAGACAAACUUCGUUUGUAAGUUCCCUGGUUUAUUAAAACUGCCACCUCCCAAUCUGGAUCCGCCUCUCCCCUUGGUUUCUCCUGGUCCUCCAUGUUAGGGGGCCAGCUAGUUUCAGAUUUCACCCAGAAAGCUCCGGAGUUUUCGAACCAACGCCAAUCUAAUCAUAGGGGUUCUUAAAAGUGGAGAACAUUUUCCAGCUACAGUCAAUCAGAGAUUCAACAAGAGAAGGACCUAACCCACUGUUGCUGGCUUUGAAGAUGGAGGAAGGAGACCAUAAACCAAAGAAUGUGAAUGUCUCAAGAAGCUGCUUCUGGAGGAAACAGAUUCUCCGCCAGAGCCUCCAGAAGGAUCACAGCUCUGCAGACGCCUUGAUUUUGCCCAGUGAGACCCAUGCUGGACUUCCAACCUGCAGAACUCAAAGGAAUAUUAGCCCUGAGCUAACAUCCAUGCCCAUCUUCCUCUACUUUAUAUGUGGGACACCUGCCACAGCAUGGCCUGCCAAGCGGUACCAUGUCGGCACUCAGGAUCCAAACCGGCGAACCCCAGGCCGCUGAGAAGCAGAACAUGCAAACAACCGCUGCGCCACCCGGCUGGCCCCAAGAAUCUAUUUUUAAAAGUUUCCACAUUUAGCAAAUCUCAGACAAAUGCAUAGCUCACCAGUACCCAUUAUUACUUUACUUUUACCUCAAUUAAAAUGCAAUUUGGAACUAGACUUGUCCAGUGAAAUGUUUGAAAGUUGAAUUUGCUUUAAAUUGUAAUAUGAAUCCAAGUAUUAAUGUAAUAUUCACACUUGCAAAAAAUCUAGUUGAAAGAUAGUAAAGCUGAUAUUACUACAAAAAUUCUGCGUUAAAACACAACUGAAUUAGCAUCUCUAUAGCCACAAGAAAAAAACACCAACGUGGGCUACCGCAGAGCAGCCCUCCUGCAGACCAGCACAGAAGGCUCCAUUUCCACUGUAACCAUACCUUUCUGCAGGACCAUCACACAGUUCAGGCCCUUCUUUGUCUCCUGCAAGGUAGCUCCUGCUCUGCUGGCAAGAAUUGGGAGAACUUUCUGCUUCAUGAUGCUAAGAAUAAGAAUGUAAAACAAAAGAAUGAAAACCAUCUCAAGUUUCGAUACACAUCAAUUCACAUCAAAGUAUAAAGACUUGGCUGCCAAACAAAACUAAAUCUCCAAAAAAGAAACUUGAACAUAAUUGACCUUUUCUUCCCACUUUAAUUUGUUUGGGAUUCUGAACUGGCUGGAAGUAGGAUGCUUCUGCUUGAGCUCUAGUUAUUCUGUAUUCGGUCCUAACGCCAGCCCACCAUCAAUUUGACUCCAUCCUCCGACCAGGAUUAUUCUUUGAAAUGAACACUGCCUUUUUUUCUUUCUACAAAGGAAAAAACACUAAAAGACCUGCAUUGUAACUGCUAUUUCAUAGUUUUCAUUUUUUGUAAAUUCUGUUUGCUUGGUCUUACAUACAUUUUUUUCCCUAAAUUUCCCUUUUGUCUUGAUGCUCUAACUUUGGAGAAUUUUCUGUUUUGUUUUUACAUUUCAUAUGUUUUACUUUUUGUGACAUUGUCUACUGACAUGUAUUUAGUCUCAUAGGUGGUAGUUUUUUAAAGUUUUUUUUUUUGUAUUUUGUUUAUAACUGAUUUAGUAUUCCUCUACUGAGUUCUGAGGCUGUCUGAGUUUUUCCAAGCAUAUUCUUGGAGAUCCUUAAUUAUUCAAUAAUCAGAUCCUAAAAAAAAUAUUUUGGGUGUAUGUUGGAUCAUCUAGAUGCCUAAAACCAAAUAUCACUGUAUUUGAGUGGCUACAUUUGUGUUUAUUAUAUGAUUGAAGUGGCAAUGUUACUACUUUGUCAAAAGCUAAUGGGGGGAAAUAAAAGAGCGGACACAAUGACACAAUUCACACCAAGAAAAUAGGAAAUGAUAUCACUACUCUACACAUAAAAACCUCAGUAUAGUUUGAAAUUGAAGAUUUUAUGACUAUUUGGAAGAACCUAUGUCUAAGAAACUAUUAUUCACAUCCUGAAAAGCAAUUUCAGCAAAACAACGUUAUUUGUCAAACAAAAUUGAUAUUGUUGAUUUGAGUUUUAUUGUUUUUAUAGUUUAUAUUUAAUUUGUAAAAUUGUUUGGCUUUAUCAUUUUGUAAGAGAUAUAAGCAUAACGACUUAUAUCUGGAUUUAUU
RNAcentral lists this long non-coding RNA (2495 nucleotides) under Equus asinus (donkey). RNAcentral describes it as "lncRNA (ENSEASG00005029572.1)". Lineage: Eukaryota; Metazoa; Chordata; Mammalia; Perissodactyla; Equidae. The record is from RNAcentral.